ACGCUGGCGGCAGGCCUAACACAUGCAAGUCGAGCGGUAGAGAGAAGCUUGCUUCUCUUGAGAGCGGCGGACGGGUGAGUAAUGCCUAGGAAUCUGCCUGGUAGUGGGGGAUAACGUUCGGAAACGGACGCUAAUACCGCAUACGUCCUACGGGAGAAAGCAGGGGACCUUCGGGCCUUGCGCUAUCAGAUGAGCCUAGGUCGGAUUAGCUAGUUGGUGAGGUAAUGGCUCACCAAGGCGACGAUCCGUAACUGGUCUGAGAGGAUGAUCAGUCACACUGGAACUGAGACACGGUCCAGACUCCUACGGGAGGCAGCAGUGGGGAAUAUUGGACAAUGGGCGAAAGCCUGAUCCAGCCAUGCCGCGUGUGUGAAGAAGGUCUUCGGAUUGUAAAGCACUUUAAGUUGGGAGGAAGGGCAGUAAAUUAAUACUUUGCUGUUUUGACGUUACCGACAGAAUAAAGCACCGGCUAACUCUGUGCCAGCAGCCGCGGUAAUACAGAGGGUGCAAGCGUUAAUCGGAAUUACUGGGCGUAAAGCGCGCGUAGGUGGUUAGUUAAGUUGGAUGUGAAAUCCCCGGGCUCAACCUGGGAACUGCAUUCAAAACUGACUGACUAGAGUAUGGUAGAGGGUGGUGGAAUUUCCUGUGUAGCGGUGAAAUGCGUAGAUAUAGGAAGGAACACCAGUGGCGAAGGCGACCACCUGGACUGUACUGACACUGAGGUGCGAAAGCGUGGGGAGCAAAC
This 745-nucleotide ribosomal RNA is filed under the name uncultured bacterium. RNAcentral describes it as "bacterial SSU rRNA". It matches the Rfam family "Bacterial small subunit ribosomal RNA", at positions 33 to 773 of the family's 1533-position model. The record is from RNAcentral.